Molecule: long non-coding RNA, 457 nt
Filed under: Equus caballus (horse)
Lineage: Eukaryota; Metazoa; Chordata; Mammalia; Perissodactyla; Equidae
Description: lncRNA (ENSECAG00000045993.1)
Source: RNAcentral
CUUCCACUCAGCAAAACUACUUUGAAAUUCAAACAAGUUGUUGCAUGAAUCAAUUGUUCAUUUUUACUGCUGAGUAGUAAAUGCCCUUAUUGUACGGAUAUGUACCACAUUUUGUUUAUCCAUUAAUCUUUUGAUGGGCAUUUGGAUUAUUUCCAACUUUUGCCUAUUACAAAUGAAGCUGCUGCGAACAUUCAUGACAAGUCUUUGGAUGGACACAUGCUUUCAUUUCUCUCAGAUCUUGUUUUUGGUGUCAUAUCUAAGAAAUCUUUGCCUAAUCCUAGGACAUAAAGCUGUGGCAUGUGGGACGCCGCCUCAGCGUGGUCUGACGAGCAGUGCCAUGUCCGCGCCCAGGAUUCGAACCGACGAAACACUGGGCCGCCUGCAGCGGAGCGCGCGAACUUAACCACUCGGCCACGGGGCCAGACCCUAAACUUGCCAAUUUCUACCAAAAAAAAAG